Long non-coding RNA from Labrus mixtus (cuckoo wrasse), 471 nucleotides. RefSeq lists it as uncharacterized. The record is from RefSeq and is a predicted model, not a curated record. NCBI's taxonomy places the organism in Eukaryota, Metazoa, Chordata, Actinopteri, Labriformes, Labridae. The transcript has 2 exons.
GCUUCUGUACAAUAUUACUUUCUCUGUUACAAUAACUGUCCCUCAGAAUGAACAGGAUCAUCAUCCUCUGUAGUAUGAAUAAUCACAAGUGUGUGUUGGUGUGUUUUUUUGUUGAAUAAGUGAUGCAGAAAGGCGUCCUCUCACUCAGAUGUCAGGUUUAAUAACAUCAAGAUCAAACUUAAUAGUGCAUUAUUAGACAGUUUACACAUUCUCAUUAAUAAGUACAUCAAUCUGGAGCACACACAGAACCUGGACCUUCAUUGCAGCAUAGUAAGAUGAUUAGCAUCACACUGCAGCGUGAACAUAUAACGUUGGUAAACAAAUAAAUACACAUUAUCUUGCGGCAGCUGUCUUGGUGUCGGGUUAUUUUGCUGAUAAAAAUGGCACUUCAUUUAAAAAGAAAAGGCUUAGAGGAAAAGUAAAAUCUGUAUAUUAUGCAGACAAAAAUAUUCGACAAAUCUAAACAAUAAA